This 408-nucleotide ribosomal RNA is filed under the name uncultured bacterium. RNAcentral's name for it is "bacterial SSU rRNA". It matches the Rfam family "Bacterial small subunit ribosomal RNA", at positions 93 to 518 of the family's 1533-position model. The record is from RNAcentral.
GGGCGGCGGACGGGUGAAGUAACGCGUGGGUAACCUGCCUCAUACACAUGGAUAACAUAACGAAGGUAUGCUAAUACAGGAUAAUAUAAGAGAUUCACAUGGAUUUCUUAUCAAAGCUCCGGCGGUAUGAGAUGGACCCGCGUCUGAUUAGCUAGUUGGUAAGGUAAUGGCUUACCAAGGCGACGAUCAGUAGCCGACCUGAGAGGGUGAUCGGCCACAUUGGAACUGAGACACGGUCCAAACUCCUACGGGAGGCAGCAGUGGGGAAUAUUGCACAAUGGGCGAAAGCCUGAUGCCAGCAACGCCGCGUGAGUGAUGAAGGCCUUCGGGUCGUAAAACUCUGUCCUCAAGGAAGAUAAUGACGGUACUUGAGGAGGAAGCCCCGGCUAACUACGUGCCAGCCGCUGC